RNAcentral lists this ribosomal RNA (556 nucleotides) under Scedosporium boydii. Its description in RNAcentral is "eukaryotic LSU rRNA". The stretch from base 200 to 353 matches the Rfam family "5.8S ribosomal RNA". Lineage: Eukaryota; Fungi; Ascomycota; Sordariomycetes; Microascales; Microascaceae. The record is from RNAcentral.
UCCGUAGGUGAACCUGCGGAGGGAUCAUUACAGAGUUACUACUCCAAACCCAUUGUGAACCUUACCUAUGUUCUGUUGCCUCGGCGGCGUGGUCAGCGCCCCUCUGAAAAGAGGACGAUGCCCUCCCGCCGGCAGCACCAAACUCUUUGAAUUUUACAGCGGAUUACAGUUCUGAUUUGAAAACAAAAAAACAAGUUAAAACUUUCAACAACGGAUCUCUUGGUUCUGGCAUCGAUGAAGAACGCAGCGAAAUGCGAUAAGUAAUGUGAAUUGCAGAAUUCAGUGAAUCAUCGAAUCUUUGAACGCACAUUGCGCCCGGCAGUAAUCUGCCGGGCAUGCCUGUCCGAGCGUCAUUUCAACCCUCGAACCUCCGUUUCCUCAGGGAAGCUCAGGGUCGGUGUUGGGGCGCUACGGCGAGUCUUCGCGACCCUCCGUAGGCCCUGAAAUACAGUGGCGGUCCCGCCGCGGUUGCCUUCUGCGUAGUAAGUCUCUUUUGCAAGCUCGCAUUGGGUCCCGGCGGAGGCCUGCCGUCAAACCACCUAUAACUCCAGAUGGU